AGCAGUGACAUCGCCUACAAAAGCCGCGUCCCGACUGGAUUUCGCCAGUGGGCAUGGUAGCGCAUCUCGGAGCAUGACGACUAAAUGGCUCUUCCUGAUUACGCAGCAGACAUGUAU
Molecule: long non-coding RNA, 117 nt
Organism: Ixodes scapularis (black-legged tick)
Lineage: Eukaryota; Metazoa; Arthropoda; Arachnida; Ixodida; Ixodidae
Exons: 3
Source: RefSeq, a predicted model, not a curated record